This 497-nucleotide ribosomal RNA is filed under the name uncultured bacterium. RNAcentral describes it as "partial 16S ribosomal RNA". It matches the Rfam family "Bacterial small subunit ribosomal RNA", at positions 28 to 507 of the family's 1533-position model. The record is from RNAcentral.
GAUGAACGCUGGCGGCGUGCCUAAUACAUGCAAGUCGAGCGAACGGACGAGAAGCUUGCUUCUCUGAUGUUAGCGGCGGACGGGUGAGUAACACGUGGAUAACCUACCUAUAAGACUGGGAUAACUUCAGGAAACCGGAGCUAAUACCGGAUAAUAUUUUGAACCGCAUGGUUCAAAAGUGAAAGACGGUCUUGCUGUCACUUAUAGAUGGAUCCGCGCUGCAUUAGCUAGUUGGUAAGGUAACGGCUUACCAAGGCAACGAUGCAUAGCCGACCUGAGAGGGUGAUCGGCCACACUGGAACUGAGACACGGUCCAGACUCCUACGGGAGGCAGCAGUAGGGAAUCUUCCGCAAUGGGCGAAAGCCUGACGGAGCAACGCCGAGUGAGUGAUGAAGGUCUUCGGAUCGUAAAACUCUGUUAUUAGGGAAGAACAUAUGUGUAAGUAACUGUGCACAUCUUGACGGUACCUAAUCAGAAAGCCACGGCUAACUACGUG